UGCUUCAGGGGAUUAUUAUUUUUUCUUUCUUCUUCGUAUUAUUAUUAGUAUUUUUUUUGGCUUGGAACAAAAAAACACUUGGAUCUCAUUGACAACAUCAAUCCCUGGAUAUUAACUGUGUGUAUAUGGGAUAUGACAUGUAUUAAAGCUAGUGCAGCAAAUCAAGUUUCGUGAAGUCUCCUCAUGCUGAUCCUCAGAAGAACACAACUUAAAAUGAGAAGGCAGAGUGGAGGGGAUAUUAUCACACUUACAGGUGGAUCUUCAACUAGUCUGGACAUUCCACAUAGGUUUCUGAGAUGAGGACACUGAGUUUCAGAGACAUGAAUUGACUUUUUCCUAUGGUCACAUGGGUAACAAAUGGUAGAGUGAGUUUUCAAACCUGGAUCCUCUGUCUUUGAAUCCGUCAUCUGGCCUCACUUGGACCUGGAGAUACAAAGAUCUGAGACAGAACCACUUGGUGAGACAGAAGGAAAUUUAGGAAGUGGACUUGACCCUCAGAAACAUCACACCUUUCAGUGAAUGCCCACGCUGUUCAUGAAAUCAAGCUAAACUGAACCUCUCAUCCUUCCCACUGCCACCCUGCCAAGAAUAUCAAGCAUAUGAACUUGCAGACCCAGCUUCCUCAUAACCUAGCUGACCACUGCAGCCACAGCCAAUAUGCAUGGUAAAUACAUCUUCUCCCCAGAGAACGGUCUGACAGUAAUGUGCUCCAUAUUGUUUCAGAUGUUCCAAAAUGAGAAAAGAACAUGUCUGAGAUAAUGUCAGUAUUGUUAACCCCAAAGUCUUCUGCCCUCCAUAUCAUGCCGAACUCUUUAAAACUGGCGCGUACCCCCACCAUCCACCCCCCACGACAACUGCAAGACACGAUCCUUAAUAAAAAAGGAAAAGAUUAAUUGGAAAGCUGCCUUGAGAGAGCAAAUGUGCCAGACCUGCCAGCUUUAUAAUGUAAGUAAUUAGGGCGGCAUUAUGAGUUAUGUUAUCGCAGCCAGCAGCCCCAGCAGCGACUGUUUGUUUCAGCAUUUAUUCACUGGUACCUCGGAGAGAGAGAGACAGGACUGAGUGGAGAUGGAGCACAGAUACAGGUGGAGGAGAGCAUGUCUCUCAUCUGAAUGCUGAUUUUCGCCUGCCAGUGCUGUGAGGGGGGGAGGUACAGAUAAAGAAAGGCCAAGGAAAAGGUGGACAUCGAUGUGCUGGAUAGAAGUGGCUUAUUAAAUCUGCCCAAUGUACAGUAUUACAUCCAGGUGUCAGAUUAGCUUCAACUCCUGAAUUAAGGAGACAAUGCUGCUCUUUAGGAGGAGCAGAAAAAAGCACCUGAGACAGCUCUUUAAUGAGGACUGCUGCAUAACAGAAGUCCUCACAUAGGAGAUGGAUGGGAGAUGGAUUAAUGUUGUAAUCAGCACACACAGGCAGAGAGCGGCGAUUUGUUUUACUACAGACUAGCCCAGUGUUACUUUGAGAGGUGAAAGGAAGUGAAAGAUAAAAGACAGAACAAUGUGGAUGUGUUUUAAACUCUCAUUAUUCUGCUAGUGCAAUGAAGUCUUUUCUUAAACUUCUCUUCUCUUCUCUUCUCUUCUCUUCUCUUCUC
This is a long non-coding RNA of Dromiciops gliroides (monito del monte), 1585 nucleotides long. RefSeq lists it as uncharacterized. The record is from RefSeq and is a predicted model, not a curated record. NCBI's taxonomy places the organism in Eukaryota, Metazoa, Chordata, Mammalia, Microbiotheria, Microbiotheriidae. The transcript has 4 exons.